Molecule: long non-coding RNA, 739 nt
Organism: Lotus japonicus
Lineage: Eukaryota; Viridiplantae; Streptophyta; Magnoliopsida; Fabales; Fabaceae
Exons: 2
Source: RefSeq, a predicted model, not a curated record
UUUGUUUAUGAAAGUUGGAGGAGAACGUUCAGUUGUGUGAGAAAAAAAUGAAGAGAAAGACGUUUUUUACACAGUAGAAGAAAGAUGAAGGAAAUACAUUCUUGUCCAACAAAAUGUUUCGCCUCCCAUUCCCCCACUUUGGAUGACACACAAAAUUGAGUUUAUGAGGGGUUUUGAUUCCCUCUCCUCCCCUCUUAAAAAUUGAACCAAACAGCAUGAAUUAAAAAAAUAAAACCCUCCCCUCCGCCCUUCCCCACCAACCAAACAAUAUGUUACUCUUCUUCUCUAUCAUACUAAACAAUUUAUAAAAAUCUAUUAUAUUUCUCACAUUUUUCUCUCUACUCAUCUUCAUUAUUCUUCUGUAUUUCUCCUCAACCAAAGAAAGCAUUAGUUUCCCUCUUCCCUCACGCUCUGUUAUUUCUUUAAUUCGUCCAGGGGUUUGCAGCACUGCAAGGCCACCAAAUCAUCUCUCAUACCCUUCUCAAUCACCAUGACGGAUUUCCCUACUCUCCUCCGCCACAAUAACCGCCACCACCUCUCUUAUUUCAUCGACGCCACCAUUCAACUCGCCUACUCUGCCACCGUGCCUAGUAUCGUCGAGUGGCAGCUCAAUCCUUCCUCUGUCAUUCUUCGUUUUUAUUUGUAAUUUCCCGUUUUGUGUAAGAACUAAGAACAAUGUUAGAGUAAAGAUGUUGGAUUCUUAUCUUCCCUGGUGUCUAAUAGAUUUUGUGUCCUUUGA